UUCUACUUAUAUAUAUUAUAGCAGAACAGGUACAUGUCAAGCCGAGCUCCUGAGCAAAUAAAUUACCUGAUUCCUAAGCAAAUUAUUAGCCAGGUAUAUAUUAGAGACCUAUCCAAGCCUCCAUUCCAAGGCUAACUCCGGAGCAAAUAUCAGUUGAAAGCCUAGGUUUUGGUCGAAUUGCAGAUAUUUGCUCCAAACAAGCUUCCACUCAAUCCUCAUCGCCACCUACUCCGGAGUGCCGAUCGCCUCCGAAUUCCUGUUUAGAUCUCUGUGCUUUGUAAUUUGGAAUAUCUUGGCAAUACUUAAGGUUUGCAGGUUUCUGCUAUGCUUUGUAUAAGUUAGAAUACUGCAUCUACUGAUUUAUCAUAUUGCACCGGUCAUGGGUCAUCACUCUUUUUUACGAAGUUAUAGAACGGAAUUGGACAUAAAGAAUAAGUGCCAAGUGAAUUCAAGAAACUGAGGGCCUUCAAGCUCAGAAUUUCAGGGAUUAGAUAGGAUUGCAGUAUUAACAUACUUGUUCUGAUUGUCUUUAGUGUCACAGACACAAUAGCCAUGGAUUGUGAAAUGGUCGGUGUCAGCCCGCUUGGGAAUAAAUGUGCUCUUGGAAGAGCCACACUGGGUUAACAAGUGGGGACAUGUUAAUAUGACGAGUUUGUUCGUCCGGUGGAUUACGUUGUUGAUUUUCGUACCCAGGUAACAUGGAUCAAGGACUCAUCGACUUUGCACAAAAUUUUAAAAAAAAGACUGACGGUGAUAAAUUAGGACUGAUGAAUAUGGGACAGCAACAGAGACAAAUGCAAUGGAAGAAGGUUUCACCCCAAUGGAGAUAUGCAAAAAUACAAGUUCUUUCCUCGGUCCUGUUACAAAUCAAUUUUAUAAUCAGCCUAUUUAUUGUCAAAAAAUAAUAUUAUCCGUUUAUUAAUCAUCAUCUGAUGAAACAAAUAAAUAUUCGCCAAUUUAUGUAACUAACUAAUACUAGAUGAUAUUUUGGUAUUUAUAUGCAAAGCCCAGAUUUUUUUAAGAAUAUAAUGAGAUUGCUAGCAAAUUAUUACACACACAGUUUUUACCGGAGGAGAGAAUCGAUAGUGAGAUCAAGUUUUGCUUUCACAAAUAUCUUCUGCUUGCAUUUCGUUACAAUUUCAGACCUCAGUCUGAAUAUAUUAUGAUGGAAAUUAGAUAUGUGUUGUUGUAAUUAAUAAUUCAGGACCAUCUUUUUUGUCUCGAGACAAGAUGUCCAAAUCUUGAGGUCUGCACCAGUGUAUGCCAGGGUUAGGCCUGCUCUUCUUCCUCAGACCAUGAAGGUUGUUGUGCCUGUGGCUGCUCGGAAAAAAACCUCAUUCAGGAACAAAAAGAAGGCCGUGACGCUGAAAGUAAUGGAGAGGGCAACAAAUUACACGCAAUUGUGGUCUUCUAAAAAGCUCUCCUGAACUUGUUGCUAGACAAACUCGCAUUAUGCGGAAGGAGCAUGCAUAUCUUGCAUAUGCAUAUAAAGUUGCCAAACUAGGUCAGCAUUGUGCCCGGUGUUUCGAUUCCAGUUCAUAUGCCCCCCAACAAAAAAGAUUUUUUGCCCUAUUUAAACUGACAACUUUCACUACAUAAAUACGGAUGAGUGUCGAGCACACUUUUCAAACCAAAAUGAGAGUGGAAGACGACAUCAUUUUUGUCAAAACUGGUAUAAAUAUCAACCAACAAAUACGUUAAUCUUCUUGGGGCAGCAAUCGUUACAAUGCGAGAUCAAAUACUUUCUAGAUAUGAUAGGGCUUAUUCACCUCUAACCAUGGAAUAUGUAGACUUGCAAGUUUGUCCAAAGUAAUUUGAAACAGUUGUGUUAUUCUUUUAUAAUUGGGUUAUGCAUCAUUAGAUGAU
This is a long non-coding RNA of Daucus carota subsp. sativus, 1866 nucleotides long. RefSeq lists it as uncharacterized. The record is from RefSeq and is a predicted model, not a curated record. The transcript is spliced from 9 exons. NCBI's taxonomy places the organism in Eukaryota, Viridiplantae, Streptophyta, Magnoliopsida, Apiales, Apiaceae.